UUACGGCCAUAUCACGUUGAAACACCUGUUCUCGUACGAUCAUCGAAGUUAAGAAAGUCUGGUCACUACCUAGAUGGGUGACUGUUUGGGAAUACCAGCUGCAGUA
Non-coding RNA from Acanthosepion pharaonis, 106 nucleotides. The record is from the annotation of a GenBank genome assembly. Lineage: Eukaryota; Metazoa; Mollusca; Cephalopoda; Sepiida; Sepiidae.